This 274-nucleotide ribosomal RNA is filed under the name uncultured bacterium. RNAcentral's name for it is "partial 16S ribosomal RNA". It matches the Rfam family "Bacterial small subunit ribosomal RNA", at positions 523 to 796 of the family's 1533-position model. The record is from RNAcentral.
AUACGGAGGGUGCAAGCGUUAAUCGGAAUUACUGGGCGUAAGGAGUACGUAGGUGGUUUGUUAAGUCAGAUGUGAAAGCCCCGGGCUCAACCUGGGAACUGCAUUUGAAACUGGCAAGCUAGAGUAUGGUAGAGGGGGGUAGAAUUUCUAGUGUAGCGGUGAAAUGCGUAGAUAUUAGAAGGAAUACCAGUGGCGAAGGCGGCCCCCUGGACCAAUACUGACACUGAGGUACGAAAGCGUGGGUAGCGAACAGGAUUAGAAACCCUAGUAGUCC